This 241-nucleotide ribosomal RNA is filed under the name Aneurinibacillus soli. Its description in RNAcentral is "partial 16S ribosomal RNA". It matches the Rfam family "Bacterial small subunit ribosomal RNA", at positions 1 to 233 of the family's 1533-position model. The record is from RNAcentral. Lineage: Bacteria; Bacillati; Bacillota; Bacilli; Caryophanales; Paenibacillaceae.
CUUUAUUGGAGAGUUUGAUCCUGGCUCAGGACGAACGCUGGCGGCGUGCCUAAUACAUGCAAGUCGAGCGGAUUUCAGGAGAGCUUGCUCUCCUGAGAUUAGCGGCGGACGGGUGAGUAACACGUAGGCAACCUGCCUGUAUGAUCGGGAUAACUUCGGGAAACCGAAGCUAAUACCGAAUACGACAUUGGCCCGCAUGGGCUAAUGUGGAAAGACCUUGUGUCACGUACAGAUGGGCCUG